Molecule: microRNA precursor, 204 nt
Filed under: Oryza glumipatula
Lineage: Eukaryota; Viridiplantae; Streptophyta; Magnoliopsida; Poales; Poaceae
Description: MIR812 microRNA precursor family
Source: Rfam by way of RNAcentral
AAUAGAUGACGCCGUUAACUUUUUUUCACACGUUUGACCAUUCGUCUUAUUUAAAAAAUUUACGUAAUUAUAAUUUAUUUUGUUGUGAGUUGUUUUAUCACUCAAAGUACUUUAAGCAUGAUUUAUAUCUUGUACAUUUGCAUAAAAUUUUUUAAUAAGACGAAUGAUCAAACAUAUGUUCAAAAGUCAAUAAUAUCAUCUAUU